UUGAUCAAGAUGAUGAAGGAGGAGAAAGGUUAAACCCUUUUAUAUUCUUAUUUCAUGAGACCUUAUUGACUUUUGUUUCUGUUUCCUCCUCCGGCUCUUUCCUCCCUUUUUCUAUCUUUAGAAAAAGGGAGGAAAGAGCCGGAGGAGGAAACAGAAACAAAAGUCAAUAAGGUCUCAUGAAAUAAGAAUAUAAAAGGGUUUAACCUUUCUCCUCCUUCAUCAUCUUGAUCAA
This 232-nucleotide microRNA precursor is filed under the name Solanum tuberosum (potato). RNAcentral describes it as "pre miRNA MIR164". Lineage: Eukaryota; Viridiplantae; Streptophyta; Magnoliopsida; Solanales; Solanaceae. The record is from RNAcentral.